Ipomoea nil (Japanese morning glory) is the source of this 338-nucleotide long non-coding RNA. RefSeq lists it as uncharacterized. The transcript has 3 exons. The record is from RefSeq and is a predicted model, not a curated record. Lineage: Eukaryota; Viridiplantae; Streptophyta; Magnoliopsida; Solanales; Convolvulaceae.
UGGAGGCUUGGAUGUUAUUCAUACCUAUGUGUUCUGGAACCUCCAUGAACAUUCACCUGGCAAUGUGUUGUUUGCUUAGGCAGCCAAAGUUAUGACCAUUUGAUGGAACUUCAUAAGGCGAUUAAGUUAAGUGAGAGAGCUUUAGUUAAUGCAGAUCCGACUGUUACGCCGUUGGGAAACUAUGAACAGGCACAUGUAUUUUCUUCCAUGUCUGGUGGCUGUGCGUCUUUUCUCGCAAAUUUCCAUUUGAAUUCACCUGCCACAGUGAUAUUCAAUCAGAGGCACUAUGAACUGCCACCUUGGUCAAUUAGUAUUCUUUCAGAUUGCAAAACUGCUAU